Molecule: long non-coding RNA, 1172 nt
Filed under: Equus caballus (horse)
Lineage: Eukaryota; Metazoa; Chordata; Mammalia; Perissodactyla; Equidae
Description: lncRNA (ENSECAG00000056038.1)
Source: RNAcentral
CAGUCUCCCCUUGGGCUGGUUUAUAACUCCCUCAAGACUUCUUGGUGUAACGUCCUUUCCUUAUCCAUGGUUUUCAAAUCUUUUAGGUUAAAUUGGCUCCCAGAGCGAAGGCAGGAAUAAUAUCUUAAAGGCAAUGGGGAGAUGUCUCUGUGGAUUUCCAGAGAUUUUUUUUUUUUCCAGGAAAAUCUUUUUCACUGUGAAAUAUAGAGAAUGUUCACAAGGAAAACCAACUAGGAACAUAGACUGGCAUCUUUAAGAAUGCUGCUGAGCUGAGGAGGAGGGGAUGUGGCAAGGUCCCUUUACCCAUCCUGAAGCAUUGUGUUCUCCAGUUGUCCAAGAGGACUUUCAAAGAGAUACCUUUUGGUCUUCAGUUUCAGCCCCAGUGGAUAGAGCGAGUCCCAUACUGUUUUGUUCAAAGUAUCUAUAGAAGUCAUAACAUUCGUGGUGAGCAAGCCACUUCCUGAGAAGAAGAAGCUCCGUGGAUGACUUUGGCACCGUUUAGUGCACUUGCUUUGGAGAGUAUGUGUUCCAUGAUCUAAAUACUUUUGGAGGUUUUUUUUUUUUUUGGUUUUGUUUCUUGAGCUGAAAGAAAAACCUAUAUUCUUUGAUAAUCUCUUGAACAUAUUGAAUGGACAAAUGUAGAGUGGAAUAGGCCCACCUGUGAUGUAUAAUAGCAGUAAUGUCCAUCCGAGAAGAUGUCUCCUGUAUACCAUGAAGCUUUCGUAGGUCGUCCUGGGAAGACUUAGGGGAUGGUCAAAAAAGGGAUGUCACAAAGAUUCUCUCAUUCACUGAAUUUAAUAUGGAAGUCCUCUGUGAGAGCUUCCUGCAUGGCUUAUUUCACUUCCCAUUGCACCAUAAGGUUCUAGUAGCCUAUUUCCUACAGAGUGUGUUGAAACUAUGUGUUGGUCUUAAUUUAUGUGUCAUUUUAGCCACUGUUGAGAAUUCUCAAGUAUCUCUUCAUGUGAUCCUAUAAGUUUCCAUGCUUUCCCUACUUCUUGCCUGGGAGUUUCACUAAUAUAUCUGAUAAGUCAGCCCAAAGGGAUUAUUAAAAAUAAUGUGCUCCAUCAACUCUGGGGGGACCCUAUGGUCUCCUUGAGCUUAUGUUUCUCAAACAGGUAUGUGAUUUUGUGCCAUGGGAUACACAAAGCCCUUAAUUAAAUGUCUUCCUGAAG